CUGUCCCUUUUGGACCAGUGCAGCAGUGGCUAGUUUCAUGGCUGACCAGACCUCAGGGUCUUCGAUUCAAUUGGCCAAUUUAAAUUAGCAUUAGCAGACUGAAGUCUGGAAAUUAGUUAAUGUUUAUAUUCCCAUAAUACACCUGGGAAAGCACGUAAAGUUGAUUGUUCUUUUUCUUUCCAGUCACGUUGGAUUUGUUUUCCGGUCUUAUUAUGAGAGUGAGGGAAUAGAAAUUCCACUUGUGUUUGCGUACAAACUUGUGCACUAUAAUAUGUCCCGUGCAGCUCACUAGGCUCUCUUUAAAAUGACUUCGUGGAAAGAUUUUCUGCAAAACAAGCUUCCUACGCGAAGUCAAUACGAAGACAAGUCUGAUUACUGGAGUUAUUUAGUAUUUCUUAUGUACCUUGUUGUUCAUAUGUUUAUACAUAUGAUAAAGAAACCUUCAAGAAAAAAGCCUACUCCUUCCUGAAAGGCCAGCAACACACCUGCAAGCCCUCCGGUGUUCCAGAUGUCAACGGGCGAUGGUACUCACUUUCCAUCAGAUGAGCCUACUGUCCGUUAUAAUAAAAAUAAAAUACUAAUAAAAUACCUAUGAUAUACAUAUGUAUGUUAUGUCUACAUCAAGAAGACGCAACUGUAAAAAAUCAAUAAACUAUCUUCAUUUUGAAGGUUGGUUAUAUAAUACUUUUGUGGACGAUGAGAAACCAAAAGUAUAGGUAGCAUUAAUUUAAUACUAAUUUUAAACCACGAUUACGAAGAUAUUUUUAAACAUGUAUGAAAUGUAAAAGCUGGAUCUUGUUAUUAUAAUCGGUGGCGAACUCAAGUGGUAAAUUUGAGCACCAAGGACAUAAGAAUUUGAACUCCAUGAUGUCAUCCACUUUAUUCAAUCAUAGCGUAUUCUUCAU
Long non-coding RNA from Nymphalis io (European peacock), 905 nucleotides. RefSeq lists it as uncharacterized. The transcript is spliced from 3 exons. The record is from RefSeq and is a predicted model, not a curated record. Lineage: Eukaryota; Metazoa; Arthropoda; Insecta; Lepidoptera; Nymphalidae.